UUAAACGGCCAUAGCGCCGGGGCCACACCCGAUCCCAUCCCGAACUCGGUAGUUAAGCCCUUAGUAGCACAGGCCUCUGGCCUGUGGGCCGAUGGUA
Molecule: ribosomal RNA, 97 nt
Filed under: Deltaproteobacteria bacterium
Lineage: Bacteria; Pseudomonadati; Myxococcota; Myxococcia
Source: RNAcentral